This 433-nucleotide ribosomal RNA is filed under the name uncultured bacterium. RNAcentral describes it as "partial 16S ribosomal RNA". It matches the Rfam family "Bacterial small subunit ribosomal RNA", at positions 29 to 507 of the family's 1533-position model. The record is from RNAcentral.
AACGAACGCUGGCGGCAUGCCUAACACAUGCAAGUCGAACGAGACCUUCGGGUCUAGUGGCGCACGGGUGCGUAACGCGUGGGAACCUGCCCUUAGGUUCGGAAUAACUCCCCGAAAGGGGUGCUAAUACCGGAUAAUGUCUUCGGACCAAAGAUUUAUCGCCUUUGGAUGGGCCCGCGUUGGAUUAGCUAGUUGGUAGGGUAAAAGCCUACCAAGGCGACGAUCCAUAGCUGGUCUGAGAGGAUGAUCAGCCACACUGGGACUGAGACACGGCCCAGACUCCUACGGGAGGCAGAAGUGGGGAAUAUUGGAGAAUGGGCGAAAGCCUGAUCCAGCGAUGCCGCGUGAGUGAUGAAGGCGUUAGGGUUGUAAAGCUCUUUUACCCGGGAUGAUAAUGACAGUACCGGGAGAAUAAGCUCCGGCUAACUCCGUG